UACGAAGGGGGCUAGCGUUGUUCGGAAUCACUGGGCGUAAAGCGCACGUAGGCGGAGUUGUAAGUCAGGGGUGAAAUCCCGGGGCUCAACCUCGGAACUGCCUUUGAUACUGCGAGUCUCGAGUCCGGAAGAGGUGAGUGGAAUUCCUAGUGUAGAGGUGAAAUUCGUAGAUAUUAGGAAGAACACCAGUGGCGUAUGCGGCUCACUGGUCCGGUACUGACGCUGAGGUGCGAAAGCGUGGGGAGCAAACAGG
RNAcentral lists this ribosomal RNA (253 nucleotides) under uncultured bacterium. RNAcentral's name for it is "partial 16S ribosomal RNA". It matches the Rfam family "Bacterial small subunit ribosomal RNA", at positions 524 to 776 of the family's 1533-position model. The record is from RNAcentral.